UCGGCCUCUAUUUUUGUUUCUUCGCUUAGUAAUGCAUAUCAUGCUGCAUGGCCCAUUUUAAAAUUACAUAUACGUCAAUAUAUUUUCUUUAUUAUAAAAACUUAACAAAAUGACAGACAUAUUUCUUUUGUUAGUUUAUGAUUUAAAUUUGUGUUAGUCGCUUUAAUAUAUUUUAAUUCCAUGGUCUUCCUUCCUUAAUAAUUGGAGGGGUCUCUAUUAUGAAAAG
Long non-coding RNA from Arabidopsis thaliana (thale cress), 226 nucleotides. RefSeq annotates it as other RNA. The transcript has a single exon. The record is from RefSeq. Lineage: Eukaryota; Viridiplantae; Streptophyta; Magnoliopsida; Brassicales; Brassicaceae.